This is a long non-coding RNA of Oncorhynchus keta (chum salmon), 248 nucleotides long. RefSeq lists it as uncharacterized. The transcript has 3 exons. The record is from RefSeq and is a predicted model, not a curated record. Lineage: Eukaryota; Metazoa; Chordata; Actinopteri; Salmoniformes; Salmonidae.
AAGGUUAGGAACGAAUGUAAUGUCACACACACUACACUAAACAAUUCCCAUAUGUUAUUAGUUGAUUAAAGGUCCAGCUAGUUACUGUUGAUUAAAGGUCCAGCUAGUUACUGUUGAUUUAAAGGUCCAGCUAGUUACUGUUGAUUAAAGGUCCAGCUAGUUACUGUUGAUUAAAGGUCCAGCUAGUUACUGUUGAUUAAAGGUCCAGCUAGUUACUGUUGAUUAAAGGUCCAGCUAGUUACUGUUGA